UGGGGAAUAUUGGACAAUGGGGGAAACCCUGAUCCAGCAAUGCCGCGUGUGUGAAGAAGGCCUUCGGGUUGUAAAGCACUUUCGGUUAGAAAGAAUGGCAUGCAGUUAAUACCUGCGUGUUUUGACGUUACUAACAUAAGAAGCACCGGCUAACUCUGUGCCAGCAGCCGCGGUAAUACAGAGGGUGCAAGCGUUAAUCGGAUUUAUUGGGCGUAAAGCGUGCGUAGGCGGACUAAUAAGUUGAGUGUGAAAUCCCUGGGCUCAACCUGGGAACUGCAUUCAAAACUGCUAGUCUAGAGUAUAGAAGAGGAGAGUGGAAUUUCCGGUGUAGCAGUGAAAUGCGUAGAUAUCGGAAGGAACACCAGUGGCGAAGGCGACUCUCUGGUCUAAAACUGACGCU
Molecule: ribosomal RNA, 400 nt
Filed under: uncultured bacterium
Lineage: Bacteria
Description: bacterial SSU rRNA
Rfam family: Bacterial small subunit ribosomal RNA
Source: RNAcentral